This 77-nucleotide transfer RNA is filed under the name Bifidobacterium pseudolongum subsp. globosum. RNAcentral's name for it is "tRNA-Leu". It matches the Rfam family "tRNA". From Rfam's summary of the family: Transfer RNA (tRNA) molecules are approximately 80 nucleotides in length. The record is from RNAcentral. RNAcentral also lists the same sequence under 3 other names. Lineage: Bacteria; Bacillati; Actinomycetota; Actinomycetes; Bifidobacteriales; Bifidobacteriaceae.
GCCCCUGUAUCCCAAUUGGUAGAGGAGACAGCCUCAAAAUCUGUACAGUGUGGGUUCGAGUCCCACCGGGGGCACCA